Long non-coding RNA from Folsomia candida, 814 nucleotides. RefSeq lists it as uncharacterized. Lineage: Eukaryota; Metazoa; Arthropoda; Collembola; Entomobryomorpha; Isotomidae. The record is from RefSeq and is a predicted model, not a curated record. The transcript has 3 exons.
UGAGCGAUUCAGUCAAAUGAAGGGCUGAGGCUGAGGCGAGUGAAUCACACAAAUCGCAAAUUUUCGCACAUCGUGUCAUCGUGUGUUGAUUGAAUAAUGAGCAUAAUACAAAUUGUAUUUUAUUUUUUCAUCUGCACUAAUUGUAGAUAAUGUUGCGCAAGUUGCUGCAUGUGAUAUAUAUUUAGGCUGAUCUCUAGCUAUCGAACAUCAAUUUUGGAAUUGUGAAUCGUGUGCUACAUAGUCACUUCAAGUUCAAGUUCAAGACUUCAACACAAUAGUUUGCUAUCCAAUCCAAGAUUCGAUUCUCAAAAAAACAAGAACUUGGGACAAUCUAAAGCUGAAGACAAUGGGGGUUUUGACUCGUCUGGUAAAUGGGGUCAAGCGACUACAUCUUAACUAUAACAUGAUCACAUCUCUCUACAUGAUGGAACCAAUGGAACGUACGGUUGUCAACUGUAUCGUAAUUCUGGUGUUGUCCCUGAUGAUGUACUCUUCAUGGGUCUACCUCCCCCACUACACGUUAAAACUUCUUGUCUUUUCGGGAAUCUUGUCUCGAGGGUAUGACAACUCAAUCCUGGAUGAGGUCGAGGACAAUUCCAUUCACACUUGAUAUCAACCUCAUAUGAUUAUUUUGAUUCCAAAAAAUUGUACAUUCUCUAGGUUUAAACGUACGAAAAUAAGUGUUAUCCAAAUCAAAUAAUUAUAACUCUUAAUAUUCGUACAUACAAGUUAAAACAAACGUAUUAAUAAAACAGAAGCUCGUCCACACAAAAACACAUGAUGCAUAAUAAAAUAAUAAUACUACCGGAUCAAU